Molecule: ribosomal RNA, 506 nt
Filed under: uncultured bacterium
Lineage: Bacteria
Description: partial 16S ribosomal RNA
Rfam family: Bacterial small subunit ribosomal RNA
Source: RNAcentral
GAUGAACGCUAGCUACAGGCUUAACACAUGCAAGUCGAGGGGUAACGAGAGGAAAGCUUGCUUUCCUUGUCGACGACCGGCGCACGGGUGAGUAACGCGUAUCCAACCUGCCCCCAACUAGGGAAUAACCUUGCGAAAGUAAGACUAAUACCCUAUAAUUUCCUCAGAUGACAUCUGACGAGGAAUAAAGAUUUAUCGGUUGUGGAUGGGGAUGCGUCUGAUUAGCUUGUUGGCGGGGUAACGGCCGACCAAGGCAACGAUCAGUAGGGGUUCUGAGAGGAAGGUCCCCCACAUUGGAACUGAGACACGGUCCAAACUCCUACGGGAGGCAGCAGUGAGGAAUAGUGGUCAAUGGGCGGAAGCCUGAACCAGCCAAGUAGCGUGCAGGAUGACGGCCCUAUGGGUUGUAAACUGCUUUUAUACAGGAAUAAAGUUAGCCACGUGUGGUUAUUUGUAGGUACUGUAUGAAUAAGGACCGGCUAAUUCCGUGCCAGCCGCCGCGGUAA